RNAcentral lists this ribosomal RNA (301 nucleotides) under uncultured bacterium. RNAcentral describes it as "partial 16S ribosomal RNA". It matches the Rfam family "Bacterial small subunit ribosomal RNA", at positions 509 to 807 of the family's 1533-position model. The record is from RNAcentral.
CAGCAGCCGCGGGAAUACAGAGGGUGCAAGCGUUAAUCGGAAUUACUGGGCGUAAAGCGCGCGUAGGUGGUUUGUUAAGUUGGAUGUGAAAUCCCCGGGCUCAACCUGGGAACUGCAUCCAAAACUGGCAAGCUAGAGUAUGGUAGAGGGUGGUGGAAUUUCCUGUGUAGCGGUGAAAUACGUAGAUAUAGGAAGGAACACCAGUGGCGAAGGCGACCACCUGGACUGAUACUGACACUGAGGUGCGAAAGCGUGGGGAGCAAACAGGAUUAGAUACCCCAGUAGUCCCUGUCUCUUAUAC